Non-coding RNA from Burkholderia sp., 222 nucleotides. NCBI's taxonomy places the organism in Bacteria, Pseudomonadati, Pseudomonadota, Betaproteobacteria, Burkholderiales, Burkholderiaceae. The record is from Rfam.
AAAGUCCAUUACGAUGAAGGCGUAGCGAACCACAUCGGCCCCAAGCCGUGCGCUGGCGUCCGCGAGGAUGUCGGCGAAGCGUCGGUAGGGGAGCGUGCAGGCCAGCCAUUGAGCCGCGAUAUCUUUAACGUCCCGGGUGCCGACGUCGUCUAUUUGGCGGAAGGCAACACGGAGGGGCGCGCCAUCGCGAGCGCCUCGACGACCUGGCGCGGUCGCAGACCC